GGUGGAUUUUAUUUCUAGAUCCUAUUCAGUUAGAUAGUGAUUAAGAUGAUUUAUAUUGAAUCUCAUGAUCCUCCUGAAUUAUACAUAAAAAAUAAUAUUUUUCAAAUUGAAUCAAUUUACCAUUGUAAUCUUAGUUUAUAAUAUUUUACUUCAAAAUAAUAUUAAUAUAUAAUAUAUUAAUAUAUGAUGUAUUAAUAUCUAGUUUUUAUGAAUACGUGGUUGGUGUUUUGGAGGG
This 235-nucleotide long non-coding RNA is filed under the name Elaeis guineensis (African oil palm). RNAcentral's name for it is "long non-coding RNA (EGUI_LNC003886)". The record is from RNAcentral. Lineage: Eukaryota; Viridiplantae; Streptophyta; Magnoliopsida; Arecales; Arecaceae.